This 73-nucleotide transfer RNA is filed under the name Caudoviricetes sp. Its description in RNAcentral is "tRNA-Gln". It matches the Rfam family "tRNA". From Rfam's summary of the family: Transfer RNA (tRNA) molecules are approximately 80 nucleotides in length. Their secondary structure includes four short double-helical elements and three loops (D, anti-codon, and T loops). Further hydrogen bonds mediate the characteristic L-shaped molecular structure. tRNAs have two regions of fundamental functional importance: the anti-codon, which is responsible for specific mRNA codon recognition, and the 3' end, to which the tRNAs corresponding amino acid is attached (by aminoacyl-tRNA synthetases). tRNAs cope with the degeneracy of the genetic code in two manners: having more than one tRNA (with a specific anti-codon) for a particular amino acid; and 'wobble' base-pairing, i.e. permitting non-standard base-pairing at the 3rd anti-codon position. Lineage: Duplodnaviria; Heunggongvirae; Uroviricota; Caudoviricetes. The record is from RNAcentral.
UGCCCCUUAGCCUAACAGGGUAGGGCAACCGGCUUUGACCCGGAGUGUGUUCGUUCAAAUCGGACAGGGGCAG